UACGUAGGCAGCGAGCGUUGUUCGGAGUUACUGGGCGUAAAGCGUGCGUAGGCGGUGGUCCAAGUCUGGUGUGAAAUCUCCCGGCUUAACUGGGAGGGUGCGCCGGAAACUGGGCCGCUGGAGUACGGGAGAGGCAAGCGGAAUUCCAGGUGUAGCGGUGAAAUGCGUAGAUAUCUGGAGGAACACCGGUGGCGAAGGCGGCAUCCUGGACCGGCAUUGACGCUGAGGCGCGAAAGCCAGGGGAGCAAACGGG
Molecule: ribosomal RNA, 253 nt
Filed under: uncultured bacterium
Lineage: Bacteria
Description: partial 16S ribosomal RNA
Rfam family: Bacterial small subunit ribosomal RNA
Source: RNAcentral